This 492-nucleotide ribosomal RNA is filed under the name uncultured soil bacterium. RNAcentral describes it as "bacterial SSU rRNA". It matches the Rfam family "Bacterial small subunit ribosomal RNA", at positions 26 to 518 of the family's 1533-position model. The record is from RNAcentral.
AGGACGAACGCUGGCGGCGUGCUUAACACAUGCAAGUCGAGCGGAAAGGCCUUUCGGGGUACUCGAGCGGCGAACGGGUGAGUAACACGUGAGUAAUCUGCCCAUCGCUUCAGGAUAGCCAUCGGAAACGGUGAUUAAUACUGGAUAUGACAUUCCUUCGCAUGUUGGGGUGUGGAAAGUUUUUUCGGCGGUGGAUGUGCUCGCGGCCUAUCAGCUUGUUGGUGGGGUAAUGGCCUACCAAGGCUUUGACGGGUAGCCGGCCUGAGAGGGUGACCGGCCACGACUGGGACUGGAGACACGGCCCAGACUCCUACGGGAGGCAGCAGUGGGGAAUAUUGGACAAUGGGCGAAGCCUGAUCCAGCAACGCCGCGUGAGGAUGACGGCCUUCGGGUUGUAAACCGUCUUUCAGCACAGACGAAGUUUGCUUUUUUGGUGUAAGUGACGGUAUGUGCGAGAAGAAGGACCGGACCAACGUACGUGCCAGCAGCCGC